GUACCCUUCUCUAAGGAAUAGCCACUGGAAACGGUGAGUAAUACCUUAUACGCCCUUCGGGGAAAGAUUUAUCGGAGAGGGAUCAGCCCGCGUUAGAUUAGAUAGUUGGUGGGGUAACGGCCUACCAAGUCUACGAUCUAUAGCUGGUUUUAGAGGAUGAUCAGCAACACUGGGACUGAGACACGGCCCAGACUCCUACGGGAGGCAGCAGUGGGGAAUCUUGGACAAUGGGCGCAAGUGAUCCAGCCAUGCCGCGUGAGUGAUGAAGGCCUUAGGGUCGUAAAGCUCUUUCGCCAGGGAUGAUAAUGACAGUACCUGGUAAAGAAACCCCGGCUAACUCCGUGCCAGCAGCCGCGGUAAUACGGAGGGGGUUAGCGUUGUUCGGAAUUACUGGGCGUAAAGCGUACGUAGGCGGAUCAGAAAGUUGGGGGUGAAAUCCCGGGGCUCAACCCCGAACUGCCUCCAAAACUCCUGGUCUAGAGUUCGAGAGAGGUGAGUGGAAUUCCGAGUGUAGAGGUGAAAUUCGUAGAUAUUCGGAGGAACACCAGUGGCGAAGGGGCUCACUGGCUCGAUACUGACGCUGAGGUACGAAAGUGUGGGGAGCAAACAGGAUUAGAUACCCUGGUAGUCCACACCGUAAACGAUGAAUGCCAGUCGUCGGGUAGCAUGCUAUUCGGUGACACACCUAACGGAUUAAGCAUUCCGCCUGGGGAGUACGGUCGCAAGAUUAAAACUCAAAGGAAUUGACGGGGG
Molecule: ribosomal RNA, 753 nt
Filed under: uncultured bacterium
Lineage: Bacteria
Description: bacterial SSU rRNA
Rfam family: Bacterial small subunit ribosomal RNA
Source: RNAcentral